UACGUAGGGGGCGAGCGUUGUCCGGAAUUAUUGGGCGUAAAGAGCUCGUAGGCGGUUUGUCACGUCUGCUGUGAAAUCCCGAGGCUCAACCUCGGGCCUGCAGUGGGUACGGGCAGACUGGAGUGCGGUAGGGGAGAAUGGAAUUCCUGGUGUAGCGGUGGAAUGCGCAGAUAUCAGGAGGAACACCGGUGGCGAAGGCGGGUCUCUGGGCCGAUACUGACGCUGAGGAGCGAAAGCGUGGGGAGCGAACAGG
RNAcentral lists this ribosomal RNA (253 nucleotides) under uncultured bacterium. RNAcentral's name for it is "partial 16S ribosomal RNA". It matches the Rfam family "Bacterial small subunit ribosomal RNA", at positions 524 to 776 of the family's 1533-position model. The record is from RNAcentral.